Molecule: long non-coding RNA, 5007 nt
Organism: Siniperca chuatsi (mandarin fish)
Lineage: Eukaryota; Metazoa; Chordata; Actinopteri; Centrarchiformes; Sinipercidae
Exons: 3
Source: RefSeq, a predicted model, not a curated record
GUGUGCCAGUACCAGCCGCUCAAAGCACUUCAUAACAAUGGGUGUGGGUGCUACCGGUAGUCGUUCAGGCACGUUGGACUAGAGUGUUUCGGCACUGGCACAAUGCAGAUGGAUUUCAAGCAUGCUGGCACAGCUGCUUGAGGAAGGGACAGGUUCAAAAUAUCCGUAAAGACCCCAGCGAGCUGCUCUGCACAUGCCUUGAGUACGCGACCGGGAUGCCGUCUGGUCCAGCAGCCUUGCGCGCGUGUGUGAAAGUGUAUAAGCUUAGGUUGCAGUGUAACACUUACUGAAAGGCUGUGGGUUGUUUGCUAGCACAGAAAAUAAAUAAAAAGUCCAUGUUUAUGUAACGCUACUACGGCAUCUUCUACUCUUCACAGCAGAGUUGCUCCAGACUGUGAAAAGCUGGCUAGAUUCAUCGUACCCACAGCUUCCAGCUCCGCAGCUCUGAAACGUUGUGGGAGACCUCUGGUUUUAGGCUAUUUUAAUCGACUUAAGCCUGACUCGUCACAAGUAUAAGAGGGAUAGUCAUAAAAUAUUCAGUGAGAAGAACAGGAGCGUAGUCGAAUAUGACUAAUAAAUCAAUUAUGCUUCUUGUGGAGAGCAGAACCAAGUGAACAGUCUUGUGAUGGGCACCUGGGGAUGUGAUGUCAUCACUCAAUAUCCAAGUCUGAUGAUGAACAGGGAGUUUUUCUCAGUGCCUCCUCUGUCGAUUAUCAAACGGGCUCACCUUGUCUUUUCUGUGACGCAAGAUCGAUACAAAAACAGCAUGUGCAUUUUGCAAUAACCCUGCUCUCAUUCAAAUCAAUAUGCCACAUGAGGGGUUUGGACUUAAUUUCUGCAUUAGCACCAUGACAACCCUCAGUCUCUUGUGUUGUACAUUGCUGCAAUGACAAGGUUUUUCAUAUAACCCUCCCCAUUUGUAUAAAUAAUGUAGCAUUGUGUGGCAGUACACAUAAUGAUUUGUGCUUGUCUUCAGCACUUCUCUUACUGCACAGAGAGUCUGAUGGAAAAUCUCAGAGUAGGAGAAGAGAGCAAAAUCAAUAAUCUAUUCUAUUUAAUGGGCUGGAGUGUCACAGUAACGAGAUAGGAGUGGAUGAGUCGAAUCGUCCAUUGCCAAAUCUUAACAGAAGGUUGCACACAGAGACUCUCUCUUUCCCUUCCCAUCUUUCUGCCUCUCUGUCUCCUUCCUGUCAUGUGCACAGUUACACAUGUACACCCUCUCUCUCUCUGUCACACAAGUGAACACACACACACAUACACAAAUGCACAGAAACACACACACUCCUCUGUGCCCCAAUUCAUUUGUCAUCUAUAAAUCUUUAUUUAUGAUUAGCAUCAAUUCAGAGUAUAAUGUUAAGAUUUCCUAUUCUCUUAAUCUUUGCUAUGCUCAUCAUCCACUAAAUAUUUCAGUUUUGAGAUACAGUAUUAAAUUUCACACAUGCCACAGAAGCACCCUUGUAAUGUUUAAAAAGGACUGGCAGCUUCUGUUUACCUUCUUUGUACAACUGAUAGCAAAACACUGGCUGUUCUACUUAUCACUGACUUGUAUUGCCAAACUCAUGCAUAGGAAAUUAUUUGAAAGACUUUUGACUUUAAAGCCUGUUUUCUCCACGUUGUUCUCUCCUCUACCCAUCGACGUUUCAGUAUCGACUUCUAAAUUAAUCUCUGUGAUUAAGCUAUACAGGAAGGUGACGGUUUCAUUCCUUGUAUUACAAACAGAAGAUUUAGUUGUGUUUCUCUGUCGCUCUGACUUGGCAGGCAAUAUUGGCAGUGCAAUGAUUUCAUACUUGGCUGAUGGAAAUUGGAAAUCAUCCUCUGAAACAAUGGUAUUGUCUGCUGCCUUUUCUGAAUACAGUCCGCUGUUGAACAGCGUGAUAUGAGUUUCAAACACCUUCUCCUCCCACACAAAGCCUGUUAGUAGUACUUGUGGACACCUUGACCUUUAGUAGAUAUUUCAGUCUUGUAACACGUGAAUUACAGUGUGUUUCAUGGAGCCACUGCUGGAUGAUAUGAAGUCUCAUUAGUAACUACUCCAUGAUUACCGAGAAGGGUUAUUCGGCAUAUAGAGGAUUCAUUGGCACUUUUAACUCUGUUUACUUAACAAUAAGAUUGCAAAAUCAUAAGUGGUUACCAAGGAAUAAAUCCAUAGCUAUUUUAUGAGUUUCUACAAAGUGUCAUGGUUUGAGGGUUUAUGUAUUUAUGUAUUAUGUGAUUUCCUGUUUUAUUUUGGUAAGAGUUCUCCCUCAUGUGUUUUGUAGUUUUACUUCCUGCUUUUGAUUGUUACCCUGCCCUGAUCAGUUUCACCUGUUUCUCGUUGUCUCCCAUCUCCUAUGCUAGUUAAGUCUGUGUUCCUCCUUUGUUCUGUGCCAGUUCGUCUUCAUCAGUUGUGUGUCAAGCAGUCCUUCUCUCCAGUGUUUCCUUGGAUAUUUACUGUGUACCUUGGACUUUUGCUCAUUUUUGGACUUUUGGAUUCCCUGCCUGCUCCCUACAGAUUUAUGUUUACCUGUUUUGACUGCCUUUUAAAUUUGAUCUCUGCCUGCCUCAGCACUGAAAUGCUGCGGGGAGGGGGGCUACUCUGCCGGCCACGCACCUGCAGGACGUGUUUCUUGGAGACAGAACAGAGCACUGUUCCAGUGAUGCGUGGAUCGCAGUUAUAUCCAUGGGGCCUGCUGAUAAUCCGUGGAUCAGGUGAAGACUGCAUAAGGAACUGGAUGGCAGGAACAUAAGGACGGCAUAAGGUCCUCCUCUCAAGGACUUCCCAUAUCAAAGGGCCAUGGAAAUCUUCUACAAGAAGCUCAGAAGAGUAUAAUGCUCCAACAAAUCCUGCAAGCAUUGUCACUAAAUAAUAAUAAUAAUUAUUAUAAUAAUAAAUACAUACAUAUAUUUAAAACAUUGUCUGCAUUUUCCCAGUACUAUAUUACUUGAAAAGGUCAUGGAAAAUGACUGUAUUUAAUACAAACUCCCCACAGGAAACACUGGGAAUGCAAUCUGUGAUAUAUGAUUAACAGGGAUAUUACAGGUGUUUACAUAACCAUUUAUGUUGAUGGAAAAAAUAGUAGACAUAAUGUAUAACAAUGUGUAUAAACAAUGUUGCCAACCCUUAGACAUUAAAGAAACUGAAAGGAGACCACUGAGUAACAGAGGUGUUUCUGAUACAUUUUGAAGAAAUAUUUGGAAGAUCGUAGAUGGAUAAAUGCUGUAAUUUAUUUUAAUAUUUAAAGACACCAGUAGCAAUCAGAAUAAUUUAGAUGUACAAUAGUUUCUGUAGUGUUGUUAUUACUCUCUUUAAUUAAUUUAUUUUCAUCACAUAACCGUCUGGCUCUGUAUCUAUGUAGUUUUUAACAGAAGAAUUAUAGUAAAGCGCUGGGCAUGUGUGGGAAUAGCCAUAAGCCCCCAGCUGAGCACUGCUGUGGUGGAGUUUUCCACAGAGAACGAGAGGGUCACCUCUAUGCUACAGCAUGUUGCAGGAAGGAAGGCUGUGACUGUUUGUGCCUAUGGGCUUAACAGCAAUUUGGAGUAUCCCCUGUCCUUGGACUCUCUUGGUGGGGUUGUGGAGAAGGCACUGCCUGAGGACUUAAUGUUUGGAUGCUGGGGAACUCAAGGCAUGUCUUGGACACUCAGGUAAAGAAAGAACCGAACUGUUAACUGAUCAUGACCAUGUGGUGACUUGGAUCAUGUAGCAGGGGGAAGCUGCCGGAAAGAACCCAAACAUGCAGUGAAUCUCUGAAAGAGACCACACUGGGGGACGCUACAUGGAAUUGGAGUGGGCCAUGUUCAAAGCCAGAUGCAGGUGCUCUGAGUUUCGGUCAUAGGGUGGUCGGUGCCUGUUGUGACGCAACCCAAGAAUCCACUGGUGAAGGAAGCUGUAAAGAAGAAGGAGGCUUUUCAAGCAUGGUUGGCCCAGGCCCACUGAAUCUACAGUGCAGUACUGAGAGACCAGAAGUGCUACAGCUUCUGUGGUCAUAGGGCCAAAAAUACAGUGUGGGAAGGAUCAGUCGGCCUCAAAGAGUUUCUGGCAAACCAUAGAGCCUUGCCCUUACUGUUUUCAUCAGGGGAGGUGAAAUUAUGUUGGGCAGUGGAAGAAACACUUUAUGAGCUCCUGAACAUGAGAAACACAUCCUCUGUGAAAGAGACAGAAUCAGAAGACUUGGGGGAGGCCUUGCCACAAGUAAGCUGAAAGCUUGUGCAGUGUCCUGUUGGUGACCUCAGAAUCAUAUCUUUGCUUUCUGCUUAUUAGCAGAAAGCCUGCACUUGGUCGGUUUCCAGCUCCACUUCUGAGUCUGAGGCCAUAGCACUUGCCAGAAAACGGUGAAUUGCCUUCAGGUAGAGAGCGGGUAACUGCUCCCAGUGAAGGAGUAGCCUGAGGUCUGCUUGUUGCAUUGUCUACAGUGAUACAGACUUUGUACCAGACUAGUAAAGAGGGUGCUCAUUCUGAUGGUGAAGCUUUUGAAUUACCAGUCGAUCUACAUUCCAACCCUCACCUGUGGUCACAAGCUCUCGGUACAGACCAAAAAAUUGAGAUUGAAGAUGCAGUACGAGCUGCCAAAAUAUGUUUCCUUUGCAAGGUGUCCAACCGUGCCCUUAAGGAUGGAGAGGAGCGUGUACAUCCAGAAUAAGCUUCCACUGCUUGUUUGCUUCUUCAUUGAAAAGAGUAAGUUAAGGUGUUCUGAUCUGAUCGCGAUGCAUCCUGGUCACAUUCUUGUGGAGGGGCCAGUCCAACUGGGAGGAGAUCCUAGGGCAGAUCCACAACAAGCUGGUGGAAUUACCUAUCCCACCUGGUCUGGAAAAGCGUUGGGAUCCCCCAGGAGGAGCUGAAGGACGUGCCUCAGCAGAAGGGCAUCUUGGCUGCCUGUUGCUACUGUGAUUUAACCCAGAUAAAUGGAGGAAAAUGGAUGGCAAUUAAACAUCAUGUUAUAAAGCAUUUGUUAAUUGUUUAUACACAUUCUAUACAAAUUUUACAGAUGACUUUAAAAUUGUGCUAAAUGUGUUAUCAAGUGCUGUUUUACA